GACGAACGCUGGCGGCGCGCCUAACACAUGCAAGUCGAACGAGCGAGAGAGAGCUUGCUUUCUUGAGCGAGUGGCGAACGGGUGAGUAACGCGUGAGGAACCUGCCUCAAAGAGGGGGACAACAGUUGGAAACGACUGCUAAUACCGCAUAAGCCCACGGUGCCGCAUGGCACAGAGGGAAAAGGAGCAAUCCGCUUUGAGAUGGCCUCGCGUCCGAUUAGCUAGUUGGUGAGGUAACGGCCCACCAAGGCGACGAUCGGUAGCCGGACUGAGAGGUUGAACGACCACAUUGGGACUGAGACACGGCCCAGACUCCUACGGGAGGCAGCAGUGGGGAAUAUUGCACAAUGGGGGAAACCCUGAUGCAGCGACGCCGCGUGGAGGAAGAAGGUCUUCGGAUUGUAAACUCCUGUUGUUGGGGAAGAUAAUGACGGUACCCAACAAGGAAGUGACGGCUAACUACGUG
Molecule: ribosomal RNA, 466 nt
Filed under: uncultured bacterium
Lineage: Bacteria
Description: partial 16S ribosomal RNA
Rfam family: Bacterial small subunit ribosomal RNA
Source: RNAcentral